This 425-nucleotide unclassified non-coding RNA is filed under the name Mycobacterium sp. EBP:P2:CS. RNAcentral describes it as "16S-23S ribosomal RNA intergenic spacer". Lineage: Bacteria; Bacillati; Actinomycetota; Actinomycetes; Mycobacteriales; Mycobacteriaceae. The record is from RNAcentral.
CAUUUACAUGCCCUGAUCCAGGGUUUCCCCCAUCCCCGCAACAGUGCGGGACUCGGUGGUUGGGAUUGUCGCCGGCGCCUGUAGUGGGCCGCUCCGGCGGGUGCAUAUGACAACAAACGUUCGGCCGGCUGGAAAGCGUUGGUCGUGAAGAAUUGCCAGACACACUGUUGGGUCCUGAGACAACAGGCCCGUUCGCUCCCCUCCUCGUGUGGGGGUGGGAGACACCCCGGUUGCGGGGUGGGGGUUGUUGUUGCCUCACGGUUUUGGUGGUGGGGUGUGGUGUUUGAUUCGUGGAUAGUGGUUGCGAGCAUCUAACGCGCGCAGUAUUGGUUGCCGGCGGCUUUCGGGUCGUUGGUUUUUCCUUCUGUGUGUGUUGAUGUGCAAUUUUGAUUCUUGUUUAUCAAUUGGUUUUUGUGCGUAAGUGU